This is a small nucleolar RNA of Bufo bufo (common toad), 136 nucleotides long. RefSeq annotates it as small nucleolar RNA SNORA42/SNORA80 family. The transcript has a single exon. NCBI's taxonomy places the organism in Eukaryota, Metazoa, Chordata, Amphibia, Anura, Bufonidae. The record is from RefSeq and is a predicted model, not a curated record.
GCAUGGCUAUGGAUUUCUGGUGGGGUCCUGAUAAUGACCUCCCCAUAGUGUACCCCAUGCUAGAGAGAAGUACUGCUCCGAACCAUUGGCAGGCCUGUGCCCAUAAGCCACGACCACUGAAGAGAGCAGGACAGUC